RNAcentral lists this ribosomal RNA (403 nucleotides) under uncultured bacterium. RNAcentral's name for it is "bacterial SSU rRNA". It matches the Rfam family "Bacterial small subunit ribosomal RNA", at positions 355 to 775 of the family's 1533-position model. The record is from RNAcentral.
UGGGGAAUAUUGCACAAUGGGGGGAACCCUGAUGCAGCAACGCCGCGUGGAGGAUGACACAUUUCGGUGCGUAAACUCCUUUUAUAUAGGAAGAUAAUGACGGUACUAUAUGAAUAAGCACCGGCUAACUCCGUGCCAGCAGCCGCGGUAAUACGGAGGGUGCAAGCGUUACUCGGAAUCACUGGGCGUAAAGCGCGCGCAGGCGGCCUUUUAAGUUGGAUGUGAAAGCCUACGGCUUAACCGUAGAACUGCAUCCAAAACUACUAGGCUAGAGUGUGGGAGAGGAAGAUGGAAUUAGUUGUGUAGGGGUAAAAUCCGUAGAGAUAACUAGGAAUACCAAAAGCGAAGGCAAUCUUCUGGAACACUACUGACGCUGAGGCGCGAAAGCGUGGGGAGCAAACAG